This 440-nucleotide ribosomal RNA is filed under the name uncultured bacterium. Its description in RNAcentral is "partial 16S ribosomal RNA". It matches the Rfam family "Bacterial small subunit ribosomal RNA", at positions 338 to 795 of the family's 1533-position model. The record is from RNAcentral.
CCUACGGGUGGCUGCAGUAGGGAAUAUUGCUCAAUGGGGGAAACCCUGAAGCAGCACCGCCGCGUGGAGGAUGAAGGUUUUCGGAUUGUAAACUCCUUUUGUGAGGGAAGAUAAUGAAGGUAUCUCACGAAUAAGCACCUGAUAACUCCGUACCAGCAGCCGCGGUAAUACGGAGGGUGCGAGCGUUCCGCGGAAUCACUGGGCGUAAAGAGUGCGGAGGCGGGCUUGUAAGUCAGAGGUGAAAUCCUGUAGCUUAACUACAGAACUGCAUUUGAAACUAUGAGUCUAGAGUGUGUGAGAGGAAUGCGGAAUUCGAGGUGUAGGAGUGAAAUGCAUAGAUAUCACGCAGAACCCCGGUGGCGAAGGCGGCAUACCGGUGCACAACUGACGCUCAGGCACGAAAGCGUGGGUAGCGAACAGGAUUAGAUACCCUAGUAGUC